This 374-nucleotide unclassified non-coding RNA is filed under the name uncultured Gammaproteobacteria bacterium. RNAcentral's name for it is "contains 16S-23S intergenic spacer region". Lineage: Bacteria; Pseudomonadati; Pseudomonadota; Gammaproteobacteria. The record is from RNAcentral.
UCCGGUUUGUCACCGGCAGUCUCAUUAGAGUGCCCUUUCGUAGCAACUAAUGACAAGGGUUGCGCUCGUUGCGGGACUUAACCCAACAUCUCACGACACGAGCUGACGACAGCCAUGCAGCACCUGUGUUACGGCUCUCUUUCGAGCACACCUCGAUCUCUCGAAGCUUCCGUACAUGUCAAGGGUAGGUAAGGUUUUUCGCGUUGCAUCGAAUUAAUCCACAUCAUCCACCGCUUGUGCGGGUCCCCGUCAAUUCCUUUGAGUUUUAGCCUUGCGGCCGUACUCCCCAGGCGGGAUGCUUAACGCGUUAGCUACGUUGCCGCAGGGGUCAAUACCCGCGACACCUAGCACUCAUCGUUUACAGCGUGGACUAC